Small nucleolar RNA from Benincasa hispida (wax gourd), 107 nucleotides. The record is from RefSeq and is a predicted model, not a curated record. Lineage: Eukaryota; Viridiplantae; Streptophyta; Magnoliopsida; Cucurbitales; Cucurbitaceae.
UAUCCAUGUUGCGGGCAUUUCCUAAGGAGAUUUUUGUACCUCUCCCAACAUUCAAAUAAUUAUUCAUCCAUUUGUUGAGAAAAAGCAAUAAUUUCAUACCUCAAUUU